Molecule: long non-coding RNA, 2032 nt
Filed under: Homo sapiens (human)
Lineage: Eukaryota; Metazoa; Chordata; Mammalia; Primates; Hominidae
Description: HSALNT0153863
Source: RNAcentral
CUGUUAUCCUGGCUGGAAUGCAUUGGAGCCAACACGGCUCACUGCAGCCUCAACUUCCCAGGCUCAAGUGAUCCUCUCACCUCAAUCUCCCGAGUAGCUGGGACCACAGGUGUGUGCCACCAUGGCUGGCUAAUUUUUUUAUGUUUAGUAGAGAUGAGGUCUUGUUAUGUUGCCCAGGUUGGUCUCAAACUCCUGGCCUCAAGUGAUCCCCCUGUUUUGGCCUCCCAAAGUACUGGGAUUAGAGGCAUGAGCCCUCAUGUCCGGCCUGUGACCACCUCUUAGGCAGACAUUGGGCAUGUUCUACAGACUCUUGGAGCCUCCCUUUAUUUAUAAAUAAUAACAGCUAUUACUUUUUAUGGCACUUUGACCACAUACCAGACAACACAUUAAGUAUUUAUCUCAUCUAACUCUUAAAUGAACUCACAAGAUACCCAAUUUAUAUAUGGGCAAACAGAGGCCACAGAGGUUAGGGGACGUGCCUAAGGCCACACAGGAAGUGAGGGUAGAGCCAGGAUUUAAAAUCUGUCUGGCUCCGUGUAGGGAGACAGCCUCUCAGAUAUUUUCUAGCUCAGAUGUUCUAUUAUUCUAAUAACAACUCUCAUACAUCAACAGCAUUUUGUAGUUUUCAAAGGUUAUUUCAGAGUGGCUAAGAACCACCCCUUGAGUUGGCCAGCCUGGGUUCCAAUCAGCCUUUGACAUUUACUGUGAGACCUGGAAGAGGUCACUUAACCUGUCCAAGACUGUGUUCCCUCAUGCCUACAACUGGGAUAAUGACAGCAUCUAUAUAGGGCUCUUGUGAGAAUUACCUAAGGUGAUAUCCUUUAAAGCCUGUGGCACAUAGUAAGUGCUCAUGAAAGCUUUCCUUUCCUACUAGUUUCUCAUUUUAUCUGGUUUCCUUUUCUAUGCCUCUCCUCUGGCUGCUCUGUAAAACACCAUUCUCGCACCUGUAACAGUGGUUUUCACAUGAUGGUCUGUUUAGCCUAGGGCUCCCUGGGGGCCAGUGAAGGAAGACUGAAGAGGCUGGGCUUUGAGGACCCUACUGGUUCCAUCACAGGUCACAGAGCAGACCUGCUUUCAUCUGUUCUGUAUUUUGGAAUUCUGCAAAUGAUUUUAUUAAAAAGAAGGGUUUCCUACUUAAAUAUCCUACUUGAGGAACUGUAUAGACAAAAAUGAAGGAAACGUGUACAUGCUAAAACGCAACCCUAAAAUGUAUACGUUCUCCUUUUCUUAUGCUAUCAUCCCACCAUACCCUCCAAAGACAAAGCCUCGGAUGCACAGCAGUGGUUCCGGUUGGGUCUUCACCUCCUCUCCUCUGGAACAGCGUGUGCAUCAAAACAGGGAAAUCACCUGUGGGAUUCCCAUAUGUAAAACACACCUCAAAUUGGAGCCACCUGCGUGAAGGAGGUUUCAUGAACACCGAAAACACCAGCCUUUGGCUUUUCCUCAGUGAGAGCCCACAGCGCCUCCUUGUGGACUAUCUGAUAAACUGGAACCAGUUCUCGCAGGGCUGAAGGACGGUGGUCACCUAGAGGCAUUGCCCAGGAUCUGCACUGCGCUGUCCACCCAGGAAUUACUCUGUUUUCUUCUACUUUUAAAUAAAUUUGGGAGAUGGGCUGGGUGUGGUGGCUCACACCUGUAAUUUCAGCGUUUUGGAAGACCGAGGCGGGAGGACGGCGUGGGACCAGGAGUUCAUGACUGGCCUGGGCAACACAGUGAGACCCUGUCUCUAUUUUAAACAACGACAACAACAUAUUUAAAAAAUAAAAAUAAGAAAAUAAAUUUGGAAGAUGAACACAUUCUAUUUUAAUUCUGUUAGUGAUCAGUAAAACUGGCUUAAAAGCUGAGUUUCCUUUGGUUCCCUUUUGUUUUAUAAAAAAUGUCUGUGUGUACCUUUGUCAACAGCCUGAAUCCUAUGAAUCACAGGUUCCCCUGGGGAAGAUGGGGGUUUGAGUUUGGUUUCUUACUUGUGUUUAUAGGGUUCUGGGCAACUUGGGAGGGCGAGACACUAUGCCCUCAUGGGAUAACACUAAUU